Molecule: ribosomal RNA, 497 nt
Filed under: uncultured bacterium
Lineage: Bacteria
Description: partial 16S ribosomal RNA
Rfam family: Bacterial small subunit ribosomal RNA
Source: RNAcentral
GAUGAACGCUGGCGGCGUGCCUAAUACAUGCAAGUCGAGCGAACAGACGAGGAGCUUGCUCCUCUGACGUUAGCGGCGGACGGGUGAGUAACACGUGGAUAACCUACCUAUAAGACUUGGAUAACUUCGGGAAACCGGAGCUAAUACCGGAUAAUAUAUUUAACCGCAUGGUUCAAUAGUGAAAGACGGUUUUGCUGUCACUUAUAGAUGGAUCCGCGCCGCAUUAGCUAGUUGGUAAGGUAACGGCUUACCAAGGCAACGAUGCGUAGCCGACCUGAGAGGGUGAUCGGCCACACUGGAACUGAGACACGGUCCAGACUCCUACGGGAGGCAGCAGUAGGGAAUCUUCCGCAAUGGGCGAAAGCUUGACGGAGCAACGCCGCGUGAGUGAUGAAGGUCUUCGGAUCGUAAAACUCUGUUAUUAGGGAAGAACAAAUGUGUAAGUAACUAUGCACGUCUUGACGGUACCUAAUCAGAAAGCCACGGCUAACUACGUG